RNAcentral lists this long non-coding RNA (647 nucleotides) under Homo sapiens (human). RNAcentral's name for it is "HSALNT0322963". Lineage: Eukaryota; Metazoa; Chordata; Mammalia; Primates; Hominidae. The record is from RNAcentral.
GAGGAAACACAGGCCCAGAUGGAAAGUGGCUUGCCCAAUCCCACACAGCAAGGCAGAGAUGGAUCCAUCCAGCUCUCUCCUCCCAGCCAGGGCUUAGCGACAACACAGCUACAGGGGCAUGAGAGGCUCAGAGGCCUGGUCCUCUGGCUGGUGGAGCCUUGGAGGCAGUAGUGAAGAUCCCUGGAAGAGGGAGGCCAUGAAGAGGGAUGCAGAUACCUGGCAAGCCCACCUCCCUUCUAUGCCACCUGCCAGCCUUCUCUGACAUUCCCAAACCAGGGACCAACACCGCCAAUCAGGGAAGAUUUACACGCAUUUAAUUAUGAAGUAAUCUCCAGGCUGGAUGACCAUUGAAUCACCUGGGAGCAUCUUGAAAAGAAGAGAUUCAUGGGCCUCCCGCUGGAUCCACCGAACCAGAACCUCCUGAGGUAGAGCCUGGGAAUUUAUUUUUCAAAAAAGUACUCUAGGUAUUUCUGCAAUUAUAGGAAACUGCAAGAGGUUUGGCAUGGCUGGGGAAUUGAUGUCGCUGAGGAUGAGGCUGCAGAUGUGAGCAGGGGUCAGGUCUUACAGGGACUCCAAGUUUAGGACUUGGACUUUGUCCUGCAAGGCGGGAUCAGAUGAGCACCUUUGCAAUGGCUCUCUGGUGGAAC